AUGGGGUAUCCAGAAUCUAUAAAAUCCAGAAUCUAUAACAAGGCAUGUUUGUGUUCUUGUCUUCUACAGGACCGGAGUUGGCGGGGGGCAUCUGUUGCCCCUGUAAUGGCUUCAGAUUUGGGAAAUGACCCUAUAUUGGAUCCUCCAUCUGUACCUCGGGCACCUCUGAAAAAAGCGAACAGAAAGGGAGGUUUGCCAGAGGCCAAGAGGAAAGGACGGGCCAAGCGGUUGAACAAAGAUGCGGAGGAACUGCUUGCGAGCAUGCAGCGGUUGGAUCUCACAACAGAAUGUACAGUGCCAGUAGGAACGGGCCUGGUGUUUGAUGAACGGAUGACAGAGUUUUGCUGUCCAUGGGAUGAAAGGGGGGGAAAAGUACCCUUGGUUUGGAUGUGGGUAAAUAUAUAA
Molecule: long non-coding RNA, 405 nt
Filed under: Anolis carolinensis (green anole)
Lineage: Eukaryota; Metazoa; Chordata; Lepidosauria; Squamata; Anolidae
Description: lncRNA (ENSACAG00000007892.4)
Source: RNAcentral